CGAUUACCACGGUAGGCUUCACGACUGGGGUGAAGUCGUAACAAGGUAGCC
This 51-nucleotide ribosomal RNA is filed under the name Thiomonas delicata. Its description in RNAcentral is "partial 16S ribosomal RNA". The record is from RNAcentral. Lineage: Bacteria; Pseudomonadati; Pseudomonadota; Betaproteobacteria; Burkholderiales.